CUUCAGAGAGCCGACAAACGAUUGUUGUUGUUUCUUGAAGUACAUCGAGAUACACUAGUAAGUAAACGUAAAAGUUUAAUCAUACAGCUUUUGAUGCAUAUAUUCGAAAUUGUACUUGACAUGCAUGUGACAUUUUGUUUUUUGUAUUGCAUUUAAAGAUCUAGUAAUUCAAUCUAUUCUAACGUUUUUAAACAAGGCAAUAAAAAUGACCGGAUAUGGGGAAAUGGCACGAAUACAGAACCAGAUCUCCGAAAUAAUGGUGGGUUUUUUGUUUUUACUAUAGAGGAACUCAUUAUGAAAUUGCCGUCGGUUUUGCGAUACGAGAAGUUAUGUAUGCAAUUUAAUUCGUGUAUAUAUAAUAGCACAUUAUUGUUUUUACAGGCUAAAUAUGAAAUUGUUCGUAGUUGCUCUAUUGGUUCUUAUGGUUUAUGUGAGUUCUCUUCCACAAAAGAAAUUUCUUCUUGAUGGUAAGCUUACGUCUAUAAUCAAGUUAAAUUGGAAACUUACUUUUUUCUGAAUCAAAAAUGUUUGUUAAGAAAAUAACUAUUAUCAAGCCCCCUUCAAAGAUAAUUGGUCAUUCAUUAGAACCAAACAAAUCCUAGGGCACAUCACAAUGUCGAAGUAUAUAAAUUUUAAUUACUACAUAAAACAAAAGACAGGUAAACACAAAUGACCAAUUUGAAAAUACUCCUGAUGAGGACAGGGCCAUUCAACAUGUGGUUGACAUAAACUAGAUUCAUAAAAUCAUAACCCUUCCAUAUAUAAGACAUAUAGACACAAACAAAAAUCAUUCAUAUUUUUCUCCAAUCCACUAGGCAAAACUCAACAAGUCCAGCAUGCAUUUUAGAAUAAUGUUAACCAUUGAUGCACAUUCUUCUGUCAUCAAAAAGAUGGGUCUAAUGAUUUUGUUAAACAAUUGUUGUAUUGGUUUUUUUCUUAUAUAUUUAUUUAUGCGUUUACUUACGGAAGGACAAAUUUAAAGGUUGUGUUCGAUUUCUGUGCAAAAAAGUGAAAUCACAAAAAUACUGAACUCCGAGGAAAAUUCACAACGAAAAGUCAAAUGGCAAAUCAAAAGCUCAAACACAUCAAUCGAAUGUUACAAUUGAAUGAAAGCAUUGAAUGAAUAAGAACAAAGGAGUAGGUCCGGUAAGGAUCAAUUUUGGCCUCAAAUUUCAAGUUCAUCUGACGAAUGAAUUUGACCGCUUUUUAAACACUUAAGUGUCUAUUUCAUUUGAAUCAAUUAGUUUAUGUGAAAUAUUUCAACUGAUUUAGUCAUUGAAAACGAUCCGAUUCAAGCUCAAAUAUGAAAAAUCUACCAAAUAUGUCGAAAAAUGUCACUUUUUAGAUAGUUUUUGUCAAAAAUGAAUGUGGCCGCAAUCCUGUUCAUCCAAAAUCUUUAUAUAUGUUAUGUAUUAUCAAAAUACAACUACAUUUCAAUAUUAAGGAUGAACACGAAUGGCCACUUUCGUUUACGAAAACCGUCUAAAUUUAGCUAAAAUGGUAGAAUAGUGAAAGAUUUCAGUAAUUUAGCGGACUUAAUUGCUAGUACUCGAUAUAUGUGCAUUGUAUUGCCAAAAAACAACAAUAUUUAUGUAACAAAGCAUUCUACUGUCAAUAUUAUUUAAAAGUUUACAUUUUAACAAUUUUGUAAAACUGAUACAUUUUGGAGCCAAAAAGGGGUCUUACCGGACCUACUCCUUUCACAUUUUAGUAAAUAUUAAAUACUCAAAUAUAAAGAUAAAGAACAAUACAAUGAUGCAUGAUAUUGUCAGCCCUUAAUUAUUCCUUAUUAUUUGCAGACAUAUAUCUACUUCCUGGUGACUGCGAGCAUAGUGACGCAUGUAGCCAUUGUGGAAAUAGCCACAUUCAUCGCAUUCAACAUGGAGGACUUGUUAUAGAAAUCUGUUGUCGCACAUGUGGAAAGCCCAAUGCCACAGUGCAUAUUGGCUUUCCACAUUCUGCCCUUGAAUGUCAAUGCCUGUAGAGCAUCAUACACGAUAUAUCUCUUUUUUUCUCAAUAAAACUAAUAAUGAAAAUAUAGUACAUGUAGCACCAUGUAUAACGUCUGCCUAACUAGGUAUAUACAAAAACAUAGGUCUUUUUGGAAUCAUGUCUUUCAUCGGAAAAGGAUUGUCAAUUUCGCACGCCUUUAUGGCGUCAUUUACCAGAUAGGAAAGAUGACGAAAGAUACCUAAGGGACAGUCAAACUCAUAAAUCGACAAUAAACUGACAACGCCAUGGCUAAAAAUGAAAAAGACAAACAGACAAACAUAAGUUCACAUGUCACAACAUAUAAAACUUAAAGAAUAAGAAAAACGAACCCCACCAAAAACUGGGGGUGAUCUCAGGUGCUCCGCAAGCGUAAGCAGAUCCUGCUUCACAUGUGUCACCCGUCAUGUUGCUCAUGUUAUAACAAAUCCGGUAAAAAGCCUAAUUUGGUAGGUCACAUUCUUGAAAGAAAGGGGAUUGUAGCUACGACAUAAGGAACACAUCCGAUAUCAUCUGUGAAACGGUUCUUCCUUAACGGUCAACAAACUCGUCAUGGCGACCGUAAAAUUUACGAAGGGAUGAUUUCAACUUCCCCAUUUGGAACUCUUGGUUUAAUAGCUUCCCUGUAAGCAGCAACUCUCUAUCCAAAAAAAAUCAUGAUGGAAUACAAGCACGGGAAUAUAGUAUCAAUUGGGAGAUAUAUACCCGUAUGCAGGGCUGCUGGAAUGUUGCUACUUCGAAAUGAAAAAUUCAUAAUUUGAAAUCUGAAAUCAUCUCUUUUGACGGAAAGUUUUUGUCAAUUUCUAGAUGUAAGUCGAAAUAUGAAGCCGACUUAACUGUAUCUGUUGUGUCCUUUUCUCUAGCUCGAUGGGAUAGAUGCGUUCAGCAUAGUCACCAAAUUUUGAAUUAUUUAGUGCGAGAACAUCAGUGAUAUAGCGGAAAGUAAAAUUAAAGGAUAUGGCUAACUUCUUAUUUUUCCUCCUAAGAAGUUCGCGGAAAGUAAAAUUAAAGGAUAUGGCUAACUUCGUAUUUUUCCUCCUAAGAAGUUUCUGUAUGAAGUCAGCCUCAUAAGAAAAAGAAACAAGUCGGCAAAAAGAGUGUUGCAAGAUGAAAGAGAGUCGGAUUGUAUGUACUAUUUUUUAGUAUCCUCAUCUGAUUCACGUCACCUCUAGAAUAGGCAGUUUCACAAUAACUUUGAAGCCCGGCUUUGAUUGCUGAUAAAAUAUAUGUUUAUAAUUUAGAAAGAGGUUUCGUGGAACACUUAGAAGACCCAGCAAUAUACCGUUGUUUGUAAGGACACUUGUGUAGUUUAGGGAUUAGUAUCCAAUUCAGUAAUGAAGAUCCAGUUCUUCAUCUUUGGUUGAUAUUAGGAACAUAGAACAGACCUAUGAUUAUCCAGGAUUUCCUUUUUGGUAAGUGUCAUAAGGGUAUAUGUUGUGUUUCCAAGUGAUUUGUCAUUACACAAUUCGUUUAUCAAGCAGUUUUACACACAAAAAUGAUGUUGGGUGUGGCUUUAUAUGCGGGGACAACAACAUAUUUGUCAUGGAGGUAGGAUAAACGUUUUACAACAUUUGUGUCUCUAAGGAUUUACGUAGCAUGGGCAUUGAUAGACCUAUUCAGUUUCUUAACUCUGAUUUGUACUAACGACCUCACAGCGUUAAUCCAUUCGGAAAGAGUGUCUACGUCUUCCUCCUCGCGCUUAAUCACAUUGCCUGGCAAAAUCCUUGACUGAUUACAUCAAAAUUUUGAAGUUGAACUUCCAAUUGAUGGAUUUAGGCUCAUGAUAUUUUUGACCUUUCAAUAACACUGGGAAGUGUAAUUGACAAUGUUGAGGUCACCAGUAAUACCGUGGCCAACAGGAUUAUAUGUCAAUUUGGAACUAGCACAAGUGCAAUCAGGAGGUUUAGACUUGAAGUCGUCAAUAUUGAGAUCCUACAAAACGUGUUUGUAAUUGAAAAUUUUAGUUGCAAUAGGUUUGGUAUAGGUAUCAGAAAUGAUUGGUACAGACUGAUCUUUGAAAUAAUGAGGUAUUUUCGACUGAACUAAUUUAUGAUGUAGAAUAUUGCCUAAGCUGACGCCAUUUAGACCUUUGUUGGCAAAGGGAAGAUUAAAAAAGAUAUUUUCUUUUCAUCUUUUCCAACGCGAACUGGUUUGACAAGUCUGUGACUUGCAAUAUCUGAAAUGAUAGCUGUAAGUUUUAUUGGUUUGAUUGAGGGUUUGUAACAGUGGUUUCCAAGAAGGAGCGCCUGUAUACCUGCUCUAUAUAACGUUUCCAACACUUUAAUAAUCGACAUUCUGUAGGAAAGUAUAGAAAUAAUUAAUGUGCCGUAUAUACAAAAUAAUGAUUGCCGUAUGACUGAGGGGGUGACCAUCCUUUGAGAUUUUAAUUUUACAAAUAUUUUGUGCAGUAUAAAUAAAACUUUUUCAUCCGUUUGCCGGAACUGGCCUAUUAUAUACAUCAGUAUGGCCUGUCAAGAUAUAAACCGAUAGAAAAAAAAGGAAACCAGACAGGCAAACCCUUGAACUGUUCUCUUAAGUCGUGGCAAUCCAGAGGUGAGUGCUUGUCAUUAGGAGGCAAGGCCUUGCAGAUCAACCAGUGAGCUCUGGUUUUCUUGCAUGGUGUAAUUUUGUUACAUCUUAGUUGCAUUCACUUAUAUGCGUUCUAUAUCACACACAAAAAAUUGUGGACAAGAAACAAAAAAGAUAAGAGACAAUCUUUUUCGUUCUAUUGAAAUACAUCAAUCUCCGAACCAAAAUGUCCUGUGUUUCCUUCUACUUCUACAAUUAUAUUUGACUUUGUAUACGAGGCUAGUUCUGCUCAUGAAUACGUCUGUUGAAAACAUAUAACUUACAUCUUGAAGGUUCAUCAAUAUACUUUGACAAAAUAGCUGUGUGUUCACCAAGAUUAUUUCACUGAGUACAUACAAAGCUUCGUAAUUUGAAAAGUUUAAAGCUGGUAGCACCUAAAUAUAUACAAGUUGUAUUCAUCUUGCGUUUUAAAAAGAUAAAACUCUUGUGGAUUUAGGUAAAUAUUUAGGAAGGUCCCCCUCAUAAUAAUUUGAUUGUUACAUAUUGAUUUAAAUGGAUAAUAGAAGGAUAAUAGAAAUCAACACAACGAUGGUGAUUUAAGUAGAUUAAAUCAAUGGACUGUAUGAAAUACAUCUCAGUUGUCUGUUUAUUUUACCCUCUUCUGUGGCAAGUAAAGAAAAUGUUCAUCAAAAUUCAUAAAAGUUUUUAUUUUUUUUUUAUCUAGGAGCUGCCAGGCUUUAAAACUUUUCAAAUUACACUGUGUUGUCUGUACUCAGACUAAAUGUCAUGGUGUAAACACAGCCUUUUUUUGUCAAAAUGUAUUUUAAUACGCAAGGAAAUAUUUUUUUAUAUCAGAAAGGUUUACCUUAGAUACCAGAAAAUCCACAAAAAAAUGAAAACCAAAAUCAGGACAAGUUACUUACUGCAAGUCUUUUAUCUGUGACGUGUUAUCUAAAUCUUGGUGUUUCUGUACUGUUGUGUUUUUCCUUGAGUUAAUUUAAAGCGCCUUUAUGUCGUUAAACUAACAGCGUAUACGGAAUGGUGUUUAAAGCAUUUUUUCAACUUCCUUUUAUUUAUACUUCAAUAUUUAUAUGUAUUGAUGUGUUCUUGUUCCUUUUCAUAAAAUCUUACAAUAACAGUAGUUUAUACGUUUUGUUCAUCUAUUCUUCUUUACUGCAUAGUAAUAUAGGGAACACAACGUAUACACAACUGGGACGGCAAAAUCGUAUGAAUAGUAACAUGAACAUUAAUUAACAGAAAACAUACAAAAUAUAACAUAUUAAAGACAUUUCAAAUUAUUAAAAACAAAAAUUCUAAAAUAGGGAAAAGAUAGGGUGCAAUGCCCCAAACGGUCGUGAGUUCAAAUGUUUACUUGUUGUAAUCGGUUAAUGUGGUUUCGUAAGGAAAAAUUUCUAAUGAUCAUAUUAAAAUGCUUUUACUAUAAUUCAAACUCCAAUUCAAAGAGUAAAAUGCAUUGUAUUCCAUUAAUAAUAUAACAAUGAUUACCAUUUGAUUAAAUAUGUCACAAUUUAAAUUUAGAAACUGUUAAUGUAUUAUACCUUGAAGGGUAGAACCUAAUUUUAAACAUGUAUGAAUACAGAUUACUUUCCUUUUAUUAAUCAAAAGCUAUAAAACCAAACACUUACUUUAAACAAGCAACAACCGCCUGUCAGAUAAGUGAUAAGGAUUCUAUAAUGCAAAGUAUGUCAUUAACACACGAUCUUUUUGCACAACCUUCAAAUUUUAUCAAAACAAUUUUGAACCGGACAUAGCUUUUGACCGUAUAGGCGAGGGACAUUGCUUCUUAUCUUCAUAUAUAUUUCUAAAUAAUGUAAACAUGAGUUCAUUAUUUCCUUGUUCAGUGCAAAAGCGUCCAAUCAGAAUGGGAUUAUGAACUCAUCCUUAGACUGGACAGUACCAUUGACAAUCCUCGUAGAGCUUUUAAAAAUUUUUUAUUACGCUGUUUAGCUAAUGUUUCAUUAUUUUAUGAAAGAAGUCACAACGAUUGAAAAACAUAUUUACGAACAUUCAGUGCAAUUUUUCUGAACAAUUUGAUUUUUCUUUCUUUUGAAACUUGCGAUCAGUUUUCAAAUGAUUGAUAAAGAAGGUUCCACUCUCCGCAAUGUCAUACUAACAACCACGAAACCGCAAUUACGUAAAAGUUCACCGGUGUUUCCUGAAUUUUGGACUCUUUGCCAAUCAUGCAUUUAUACAACAUAUCAGCCUUUAUUUAGGAAACAAAACCAGCACAUCUUAUCAAUUUAUUUUCAAUGAAACCUGUAAGGAAAUCACUUUACAUGUAAUUGUUAUGAAAAAUAGGUUGAUAUAAAACUUUAUUAAUCAUGGUCUAUGCAAUGAGGAGGGCGGAAAGACUCUUUUCAGGAUUAGUUCUUUUUGGGGGGAAAUUCGGGAUUGGGCCUAUAUUUUCAAUGAAAUUUAGAAUUUAUAUAAUUAACGGGACUCGGGUAGUCAUAUUUUCAUUUCUGGGAUCCGGGAAAGAAUUUUGGGGGGAUUCGAGAUUACGCUUCCUCUGUAAGAACCUCAUGGAGUAGCUCAACUGAGUUGGCACCAUGCAUUUUUUUUUUAAAGUAUGCAGUGUUCUUUAAAAUGAACACAUUUAACAUUUGAAAUUACUUGAUUAUAUCCAAAUACCAACUGAUACUAAUACACAAUAGAAAUGGUCAAUAUUAUCAUUCAAAUAGUUAGCAAAGGUACCAGGAUUAUAAUUUUGUACGCCAGACGCGCGUUUCGUCUACAUAAGACUCAUCAGUGACGCUCAUAUCAAAAUAUGUAUAAAGCCAAACAAGUACAAAGUUGAAGAGCAUUGAGGAUCAAAAAUUCCGAAAAGUUGUGCCAAAUACGGCUAAGGUAAUCUAUGCCUGGAAUAAGAAAAUCCUUAGUUUUUUUCAAAAAUUUAAAGUUUGGGAAACAGAAAGAUAGUUGUCAAAAAAAUACGCUUAUAAACAGUUGAAACAACAUUUGACAGAGUUCCUAUCUAUUGAAUGUGCCUUGAUGUGUAUCUGCAAUUCAAAAUGUGUACAGGUACUAAGUAAAUUAAAAUCAAAAGGGAAAUUAGCAUGCGUAUAAUUGUUCGCAUACUAGAGUCAAGAAAGGCACCAAACCAGGUUUAAUUUUGAACCAGUCGGGCUCCCCUUGUUUUGAAAACAAUUCAUUCUAUUUUGUUUCAAAUGACAACUUCACUAAUUAAGUCACACGAUAUAUAUUAUGUCAAAAUAAUUCAGGUAAUGCACGCAUAUAACAGGUCCUGGUUUUGACAUUUUGAAAAAGAUUUUAAGACAGUUUGUUUGUAACUGUUCACAUAAUGUAUGAGUCCAAAUUAAAUAAUCUGUUUGUUCCCCUGGCACACAUUGAAAACAAAUAUGAGCUGUGUGCAUGUUCAAUCCCACCAAAUGUUGAAUCAAACCUACAGAAGAUGGAGCAUUAGUGAUCCUGCCUAACCUAGAACUGGUUAAAAGCAAAUGAAACGAUAAAACCUGAACAUAGCUCCAGUUAAGCGUUUUGUGUACAAAAUAUGAUAAUAAAAAGAUGUGGUAUGAUUGCCAAUGUAACUAUCAACUAUCAAAAAGAAACCAAAUUACACAAGAAAUGAAUACUAAAGGUCAACGUACUUCAACUUCACUUCUAUGGUCGGGUUGUUGUCUCUUUGACACAUUCCCCAUUUCCAUUCUCAAUUUUAUUCAACAUAGACCAAAAGCCCGUACGGUAUAGUCAACUAUAAAAGUCAACGAAAUGACAAACGUUAAACAAUUCUAACGAGAAAACAAAGUCUAAUUUUUGUACAUAAUAAUUUACGAAAAACAAAUAUGUUACAUAGCAUUAUAAACAAAUAACUGAAGUGUAGGCUUCUGACAACCCUCCCCUUAUUUCCAUUCAUUUUGUUUGGUGUUUUGAAAUAUUAAACCAAAUCUAGCUCUAGGUAACAUAUUGUUACUAACGCUCUCUUAAUAACGAAACAUUCGCCUCUAGAUAAUAUAUUGUUACUAACGCUCUCUUAAUAACGAAACAUCUUAACAGGUUUAUACUAAACUUUUCAAAAAUUUUCGUGGAUUGACAUUCGAACUGACUAGUGUACGGAUAUUUUCAAUACCCCGUUCUGAUUUGACGCUUUACACUAAACGUGAAAAUGAUAACCAUAAAUGUACUGCAACGAACAUGAUGACCUCUUGUUUACGUUGUUCAGAAAUACAUUUAGAUAAGAUACAAUGUCCCUCACUCCUACGGUCAAAAUAUAUGUCCGGAUCAAAAUUGUUUUGGAAUAAUUUGAAGGUUGUGAGAAAAGAUUGUGUGUUUAUGACAUAAUUUGCCAUUAUAAAAGCCCAAUCGCUACAGAGAGCCGACAAACGAUUGCUGCUGUUUCUUGAAGUACAUCGUGAUACACUAGUAAGUAAACGUAAGUUUUUGGUCUUACAGCUUUUGAUUCAUGAACAUCCAGCAAAAGUGUUUAGUAAGAAAACUGAUGAGAGAGAUACCAAAGAGACAUGAAAACUCAUAAGUCGAAAACAAAAAACAAACUGACAACGUCAUUGCAACAAAAAUGUUUGCUCACGUUUGUCAGUCGAAACUGUACUUGACAUGAAUGUAACAUUUUUUUUUUUAUUGCAUUUCGAGAUCUGGUGCUGUAUUUGUAUAUAAUGGAGUGUGACACCGCUUUGUCUGUUAUUCAAUAUAUUCUAACGUUUUUAAACAAUUCAGUGAAAAAGAACGGAUAGGGGGAAGUGGCACGAAUACAUAACCAAAUCUCUGAAAUAAUGGUGUUUUAUUUACUAUAGAGGCACUUAUUAUGAAAUUGCCGUCGGAUUUGCGAUACGAGCAUGUAUGUAUGCAACUUAAUUCGUGUAUAUACAAUAGCACAUUAUUGUUUUUACAGACUAAACAUGAAAUUGUUCGUAGUAGCUCUUUUGGUUCUUAUGGCAUAUGUGAGUUCUCUUCCACAAAAGAAAUUUCUUCUGGAUGGUAAGCUCAUAUCUAUAAUCAAUUUUAAUUGGAAACUUACUUUUUUUCUGAAUCAAAAUUGUUUGUUAAGACAAUAACUAUUAUCAAGCCCCCUUCAAAUAUAAUUGGUCGUUCAUUAGAACCAAACAAAUCCUAGGGCACAGCACAAGUCAAAGUAUAUAAAUUUUAACUACAACAUAAAACAAAAGACAGGUAAACACAAAUAACCAAUUUGAAAAUACUCCUGAUGAGGACAGGGCCAUUCAACAUGUGGUUGACAUAAACUAGAUUCAUAAAAUCAUAACCCUUCCAUAUAUAAGACAUAUAGACACAAACAAAAAAUCAUUCAUAUUUUUCUCCAAUCCACUAGGGAAAACUCAACAAGUCCAGCAUGCAUUUUAGAAUAAUGUUAACCAUUGAUGCACAUUCUUCUGUCAUCAAAAAGAUGGGUCUAAUGAUUUUGUUAAACAAUUGUUGUAUUGGUCUUUAUCUUAUAUAUUUAUUUAUGCGUUUACUUACGGAAGGACAAAUUUAAAGGUUGUGUUUGAUUUCUGUUCUGUGCAAAAAAGUGAAAUCACAAAAAUACUGAAUUCCGAGGAAAAUUCACAACGAAAAGUCAAAUGGCAAAUCAAAAGCUCAAACACAUCAAUCGAAUGUGACAAUUGACUGAAAGCAUUGAAUGAAUAAGAAUAAAUUUAACAUUUUAGUAAAUAUUAAAUACUCAAAUAUAAAGAUAAAGAACAAUACAAUGAUGCAUGAUAUUGUCAGCCCUUAAUUAUUCCUUAUUAUUUGCAGACAUAUAUCUACUUCCUGGUGACUGCGAGCAUAGUGACGCAUGUAGCCAUUGUGGAAAUAGCCACAUUCAUCGCAUUCAACAUGGAGGACUUGUUAUAGAAAUCUGUUGUCGCACAUGUGGAAAGCCCAAUGCCACAGUGCAUAUUGGCUUUCCACAUUCUGCCCUUGAAUGUCAAUGCCUGUAGAGCAUCAUACACGAUAUAUCUCUUUUUUUCUCAAUAAAACUAAUAAUGAAAAUAUAGUACAUGUAGCACCAUGUAUAACGUCUGCCUAACUAGGUAUAUACAAAAACAUAGGUCUUUUUGGAAUCAUGUCUUUCAUCGG
Molecule: long non-coding RNA, 10590 nt
Filed under: Mytilus galloprovincialis (Mediterranean mussel)
Lineage: Eukaryota; Metazoa; Mollusca; Bivalvia; Mytilida; Mytilidae
Source: RNAcentral